UGCAGAACCUCAGUGUGAAACCACAUGCACGGGCAGGGGUCCACAUGGGGUGGAUCCACCCCUCUUAGUCUUGUCCUGUGGUGGUCCUGAGCCAUGUCUCCCCCAUCUUGUUUGUGCAUCAGUGACAGGAGCAAAAGAGAGAGACGCCCAGGACUUGUAGGAGCUGCAGGAGGACCCUCUCCCUUCCGCAUGAGGAGAGGCAUGAGGGUGUGAACUCUGACCAGCUAGAGUGAUUUUGUAACCACCAGAUAAGAAACUGCAGCUGCUGAGGGGCCACUCUGAGCAGUCCAGGAAUGAAGUCAACACCACAAAAGGCAGACGAGCGAGAUGGUGAGAAACCAGGUCCUGGGGUAUCCUUUGAGGCACUGGACCAAGUCUGACCUGAGGUCUGUCUGACUACUGGACUCUUCAGUUAUGUGAAUGAAUACAUUUUCUUCAUUAUCUAA
Molecule: long non-coding RNA, 446 nt
Filed under: Homo sapiens (human)
Lineage: Eukaryota; Metazoa; Chordata; Mammalia; Primates; Hominidae
Description: HSALNT0351259
Source: RNAcentral